Molecule: long non-coding RNA, 447 nt
Filed under: Androctonus crassicauda
Lineage: Eukaryota; Metazoa; Arthropoda; Arachnida; Scorpiones; Buthidae
Source: RNAcentral
CAGAAUUUACAAUUGUUAACAUAGGAAAGUGUUGUUAGUGAGUUUUUGAGAUCUUACAUUAGUUAUGUACUUAGAUGUAUGUAGAUACUUGCUUAAAUAUCUUUUCAUUAUUUUUAUUUUUGUAAUAAAUUUUGUAUGUGAAUGUAACAAGAGUUGGCCCUUGUUUAAUGUUUGGGUUAGUUUCCUCAAAAUUAGAACUUUAACCAAAACUAUAAUCCAUAUAGGCCUGGUGUUAAGAAUUGGGAUUAAAGAGGCUAUCAGUGACCAAUAUAAGUGGGAAUUACAUAUAAAUUUUUCCUUAAAUCAGGAAAAUUAAGAAACCUGAUGUUAGUUUGCAUUAUGAUUAAAAAUAAUAUAAAUUUUGGGAAGGCAAGACAUUAACAAUAUUGCAAUGUUUUCUUUUUUUAAAUUUUAAAACAUCAAUACAUUUGUGGUUAAUGACAGUUU